Molecule: long non-coding RNA, 673 nt
Organism: Betta splendens (Siamese fighting fish)
Lineage: Eukaryota; Metazoa; Chordata; Actinopteri; Anabantiformes; Osphronemidae
Exons: 2
Source: RefSeq, a predicted model, not a curated record
UGAGCGUGGACGGCUGGAGGCGACGGCUGGAGCACACAGUCCUCAGCAGCUGCCUGGACUGAGGAGAGCAGGGGAGAAUGGGCCGGCGCUGAAACUCUACCCCGCUCCCGCCCACAUCUUUAAAGGCGAAGGCCAGGUUGACCAGCAGAUGGCAGGCGUUAACACGUUUCCCUACUGAUUACUGGUGUGCGUAGUCAGCAAACCUGAACAACAUUGACUCUACAAGAAAAGAAAUGUGUGGGGAAACACAAAAUGGGAAUGAGAAUAAUACAAAGAGCGUCUGUUUAUCUUUAGAAUAAACUGCUAUUCAAUUUAUGUAAUUCAUGUUUUUCUCCCCGUUCAAUUUGAGAUUUUUCCCAGAAAAAAUAGUAACUUUUCAUCAUUGCUUCAGUGUGGCACACAUCAAAACAAAGACUGCUAGGAAAGGAAGAUAAUGCUGCAGGAAAACACUGUUGAGACUCGGCCGUGAAAAGAGAGAGGAAAAGGAAAUGACAAAGCACAGAGCCAUCUCAUGACUGGCUCAUAGUCUGAUACCGAGACUAAUUCUGAGACUAAUUCAUCUAAAACAAACAGAACAUGCAUUUUAAUUUAUGUGUACAAAUAAAUAAAAUAAAGACUUCUGUAAAGCACCUGUAAAUGAAAUGCACAACCAUGGAUUAAAAUCUAAUUUAUA